UUGCCAAUGAUGGUUAACGAAUUUCUUCACCUGAAUAAGCCAUGUGGUCAUAUUGUAUCUGAGGCAAA
Molecule: small nucleolar RNA, 68 nt
Organism: Leptonychotes weddellii (Weddell seal)
Lineage: Eukaryota; Metazoa; Chordata; Mammalia; Carnivora; Phocidae
Source: RefSeq, a predicted model, not a curated record